GACGAACGCUGGCGGCGUGCUUAACACAUGCAAGUCGAACGGAAAGGCCCGGCUUUUGUGGGGUGCUCGAGUGGCGAACUGGUGAGCAACACGUGAGUAACCUGCCCCUGACUUUGGGAUAACUUCAUGAAACUGGGGCUAAUAGCGGCUAAGAGUUCCCGCCGCAUGGUGGGGGCUGGAUAGAUUCGGUGGUUGGGGAUGGACUCGCGGCUCAUCAGCUUGUUGGUGGGGUAGUGGCUUACCAAGGCGUUGACGGGUAGCCGGCCUGGGAGGGUGACCGUCCACAUUCGGACUGAGAUACGGCCAAGGCUCCUACGGCAGGCGGCAGUGGGGAAUAUUACAAAAGGAUCAGGGGCGUGAGUCAGCAACGCCGCGUGCGGGAUAACGGCCAACGGGUUAGAGUCGGCUUUCGCCUGUGACGGAGCGGGAGUGACGGUAACGGGUAGAGAAGCCCCGGCUAACUACGUG
This 468-nucleotide ribosomal RNA is filed under the name uncultured bacterium. RNAcentral's name for it is "partial 16S ribosomal RNA". It matches the Rfam family "Bacterial small subunit ribosomal RNA", at positions 28 to 507 of the family's 1533-position model. The record is from RNAcentral.